Molecule: ribosomal RNA, 467 nt
Filed under: uncultured bacterium
Lineage: Bacteria
Description: partial 16S ribosomal RNA
Rfam family: Bacterial small subunit ribosomal RNA
Source: RNAcentral
GACGAACGCUGGCGGCGUGCUUAACACAUGCAAGUCGAACGGAAAGGCCCUGCUUUUGUGGGGUGCUCGAGUGGCGAACGGGUGAGUAACACGUGAGUAACCUGCCCUUGACUUUGGGAUAACUUCAGGAAACUGGGGCUAAUACCGGAUAGGAGCUCCUGCUGCAUGGUGGGGGUUGGAAAGUUUCGGCGGUUGGGGAUGGACUCGCGGCUUAUCAGCUUGUUGGUGGGGUAGUGGCUUACCAAGGCUUUGACGGGUAGCCGGCCUGAGAGGGUGACCGGCAAAAUGGGGAAUAGGAUAGGGCCAAGACCCCUAGGGGAGGAAGGAGGGGGGAAAAUUGCAAAAUGGGGGGAAGCGUGAGGAAGCAACGCCGGGGGGGGGAGAACGGCCUUGGGGUUGAAAACCGUUUUGGCCUGUGACGAAGCGGGGGGGAGGGAAAUGGGAAAAAAAGCACCGGAAAAAUAGGU